This 2615-nucleotide ribosomal RNA is filed under the name Salmonella enterica. RNAcentral's name for it is "partial 23S ribosomal RNA". It matches the Rfam family "Bacterial large subunit ribosomal RNA", at positions 340 to 2925 of the family's 2925-position model. Lineage: Bacteria; Pseudomonadati; Pseudomonadota; Gammaproteobacteria; Enterobacterales; Enterobacteriaceae. The record is from RNAcentral.
GUCUGGAAAGGCGCGCGAUACAGGGUGACAGCCCCGUACACAAAAGCGCAUGUGCUGUGAGCUCGAUGAGUAGGGCGGGACACGUGGUAUCCUGUCUGAAUAUGGGGGGACCAUCCUCCAAGGCUAAAUACUCCUGACUGACCGAUAGUGAACCAGUACCGUGAGGGAAAGGCGAAAAGAACCCCGGCGAGGGGAGUGAAAAAGAACCUGAAACCGUGUACGUACAAGCAGUGGGAGCACAGGUUUACCUGUGUGACUGCGUACCUUUUGUAUAAUGGGUCAGCGACUUAUAUUCUGUAGCAAGGUUAACCGUAUAGGGGAGCCGGAGGGAAACCGAGUCUUAACCGGGCGUUAAGUUGCAGGGUAUAGACCCGAAACCCGGUGAUCUAGCCAUGGGCAGGUUGAAGGUUGGGUAACACUAACUGGAGGACCGAACCGACUAAUGUUGAAAAAUUAGCGGAUGACCUGUGGCUGGGGGUGAAAGGCCAAUCAAACCGGGAGAUAGCUGGUUCUCCCCGAAAGCUAUUUAGGUAGCGCCUCGUGAAUUCAUCUCCGGGGGUAGAGCACUGUUUCGGCUAGGGGGCCAUCCCGGCUUACCAACCCGAUGCAAACUGCGAAUACCGGAGAAUGUUAUCACGGGAGACACACGGCGGGUGCUAACGUCCGUCGUGAAGAGGGAAACAACCCAGACCGCCAGCUAAGGUCCCAAAGUCAUGGUUAAGUGGGAAACGAUGUGGGAAGGCCCAGACAGCCAGGAUGUUGGCUUAGAAGCAGCCAUCAUUUAAAGAAAGCGUAAUAGCUCACUGGUCGAGUCGGCCUGCGCGGAAGAUGUAACGGGGCUAAACCAUGCACCGAAGCUGCGGCAGCGACACUCAGGUGUUGUUGGGUAGGGGAGCGUUCUGUAAGCCUGUGAAGGUGGCCUGUGAGGGUUGCUGGAGGUAUCAGAAGUGCGAAUGCUGACAUAAGUAACGAUAAAGCGGGUGAAAAGCCCGCUCGCCGGAAGACCAAGGGUUCCUGUCCAACGUUAAUCGGGGCAGGGUGAGUCGACCCCUAAGGCGAGGCCGAAAGGCGUAGUCGAUGGGAAACGGGUUAAUAUUCCCGUACUUGGUGUUACUGCGAAGGGGGGACGGAGAAGGCUAUGUUGGCCGGGCGACGGUUGUCCCGGUUUAAGCGUGUAGGUGUGUGUUCCAGGUAAAUCCGGUUCACUUUAACACUGAGGCGUGACGACGAGGCACUACGGUGCUGAAGCAACAAAUGCCCUGCUUCCAGGAAAAGCCUCUAAGCAUCAGGUAACAUCAAAUCGUACCCCAAACCGACACAGGUGGUCAGGUAGAGAAUACCAAGGCGCUUGAGAGAACUCGGGUGAAGGAACUAGGCAAAAUGGUGCCGUAACUUCGGGAGAAGGCACGCUGACACGUAGGUGAAGUGAUUUACUCAUGGAGCUGAAGUCAGUCGAAGAUACCAGCUGGCUGCAACUGUUUAUUAAAAACACAGCACUGUGCAAACACGAAAGUGGACGUAUACGGUGUGACGCCUGCCCGGUGCCGGAAGGUUAAUUGAUGGGGUCAGCGCAAGCGAAGCUCCUGAUCGAAGCCCCGGUAAACGGCGGCCGUAACUAUAACGGUCCUAAGGUAGCGAAAUUCCUUGUCGGGUAAGUUCCGACCUGCACGAAUGGCGUAAUGAUGGCCAGGCUGUCUCCACCCGAGACUCAGUGAAAUUGAACUCGCUGUGAAGAUGCAGUGUACCCGCGGCAAGACGGAAAGACCCCGUGAACCUUUACUAUAGCUUGACACUGAACAUUGAGCCUUGAUGUGUAGGAUAGGUGGGAGGCUUUGAAGUGUGGACGCCAGUCUGCAUGGAGCCGACCUUGAAAUACCACCCUUUAAUGUUUGAUGUUCUAACGUGGACCCGUUACCCGGGUUGCGGACAGUGUCUGGUGGGUAGUUUGACUGGGGCGGUCUCCUCCUAAAGAGUAACGGAGGAGCACGAAGGUUGGCUAAUCCUGGUCGGACAUCAGGAGGUUAGUGCAAUGGCAUAAGCCAGCUUGACUGCGAGCGUGACGGCGCGAGCAGGUGCGAAAGCAGGUCAUAGUGAUCCGGUGGUUCUGAAUGGAAGGGCCAUCGCUCAACGGAUAAAAGGUACUCCGGGGAUAACAGGCUGAUACCGCCCAAGAGUUCAUAUCGACGGCGGUGUUUGGCACCUCGAUGUCGGCUCAUCACAUCCUGGGGCUGAAGUAGGUCCCAAGGGUAUGGCUGUUCGCCAUUUAAAGUGGUACGCGAGCUGGGUUUAGAACGUCGUGAGACAGUUCGGUCCCUAUCUGCCGUGGGCGCUGGAGAACUGAGGGGGGCUGCUCCUAGUACGAGAGGACCGGAGUGGACGCAUCACUGGUGUUCGGGUUGUCAUGCCAAUGGCACUGCCCGGUAGCUAAAUGCGGAAGAGAUAAGUGCUGAAAGCAUCUAAGCACGAAACUUGCCCCGAGAUGAGUUCUCCCUGAGACUUUAGGUCUCCUGAAGGAACGUUGAAGACGACGACGUUGAUAGGCCGGGUGUGUAAGCGCAGCGAUGCGUUGAGCUAACCGGUACUAAUGAACCGUGAGGCUUAACCUUACAACGCCG